RNAcentral lists this non-coding RNA (24 nucleotides) under Drosophila melanogaster (fruit fly). The record is from RNAcentral. Lineage: Eukaryota; Metazoa; Arthropoda; Insecta; Diptera; Drosophilidae.
GAAACGUCAGUACAAUUGGGGAAU